UACGUAGUGGGCAAGCGUUGUCCGGAAUCAUUGGGCGUAAAGCGCGCGUAGGCGGCCCGGUAAGUCCGCUGUGAAAGUCAAAGGCUCAACCUUUGAAUGUCAGCGGAUACUGCCGGGCUAGAGUCCGGAAGAGGCGAGUGGAACUCCUGGUGUAGCGGUGGAAUGCGCAGAUAUCAGGAAGAACACCAACGGCGAAGGCAGCUCGCUGGGACGGAACUGACGCUGAGGCGCGAAAGCGUGGGGAGCGAACAGG
Molecule: ribosomal RNA, 253 nt
Filed under: uncultured bacterium
Lineage: Bacteria
Description: partial 16S ribosomal RNA
Rfam family: Bacterial small subunit ribosomal RNA
Source: RNAcentral